CCGUGUUACUCCGACUAUGAAGGGAUUACUUUUAGGAUUUUUAAUUAUCAGUGACAUCGAGAUGCAUGUUAUCAAAAUAAUGAAGAAAAAAUCAAACACAAUCAUAAAUUUGCUCACCACUAAAAAUAGUUUAGUGAAACUAAACGGAAUUCUCCCAGAGGAGGAGAAAAACAGCCGUUCGUAGGAAAGACUGUACAGUGGAAAAGGUUUUACGUAAACUAUUUAUGUCAAAUAAAUGUCGGCUUUUGGGACACGAGACUUAUUCUAAUCAGAAUGAACUUAAUGUUACAUCCGGUCCGAAUAGGUGGAGGUUUUAGAAUAGAAGUCAGAUGGAAAGAGCAGCAUUAAGGAGACACGAGCAAUGACCCAGCAUGUGGUCUGCACAGCUUGACAACACUAAAUGAAUCUACACAACACGACUAGCGCUCAAAGGGCUUCUAAGGAACCGGCUAAAUCACUUUGACUGAGAGAUAUAUGAGCGGCUGCUUACUAUUAAAUCAUCAUCAAUCUAACCUCACUUAGGGGCUGUUUGUAACGUAUUUAUCUAUUGCAUAUUCCAAACAGGUACGAAGAUUACUAAAAGGGGAAUUAGAUUUGUAAAAGUACAACUUUUAGCAUUACUAAAGCAAUAAAAGAAGAAAAUAGCUUUGGGGUAAUUAGCUGAAUAGGGUCCAUCCAUAUCCAUCGGCAGCGGCUGACAGUUGGAGGGUGUUAGGCUCGUGAAAAUGAAUAUCCUCUCACUACAAAACUAAUUAUAAACAUAAGGGCUGAGUGGGAGAUCGGCGCUGUGGUGGGACCCGUGGAGAGCAAUGCGCACAUAACUGAUGCACCCAGCAGGAAGCGGUCAUCACAGUUCAGGGUGCAAAGGUGUAACUCAAUUUGCAACGUUAUGGAUUAUACACACACAAUUUAUGUAAUGUUUGCCUAAAUUAGACAGUGGGUUAAACAUGGGGAAUGUGCAAGACCUUCGCUCAUGAUAUAUAUUGACUUAAAAUCCUAAAAAUGUAGAUAAAUACAAUGUCCACUUCUGUCCUACAAAGCCUGCAACAGUUUCCUUUUAUACAUCCAAGAGUGUGACUUCAACGAGCCCUGGAAUGUUUCCUUGGUGAAAUCCACUACUCAUUAAGGUUGAAGCUGUCGUAUUUGAGCUUUAGUGUUGGACUGGCCUUGUAUUGAAAGUAUUAAGUUGAAUUGUAACCCAACACUUCUUGAGUUGAAAAGAAUACACCAUUGUUAUUAAUGAGUCUUACAAGGGAUUGCAAUACCAGAAAAAUAAUUUCAUGGUGGUCCAGACAAUAAUGUAACUUAAUAAGAGUAUAAUUAUAAUUGCAAUUUUCCUAUCUCUGAUUUAUUCAGUGGUGCUAAUUACCUCUUCUUUUUGUCAUUCUCCAAAGCUGUGAUUUUUCUUCUUUCAGAGCCAUUUGUUAAGCUUGUGAAAGAAGGAACAUAAUAAAAUAUGAAGAGAAGAAAAAAGGAAAGUACCAUGGGGGCCUUUUCCUACCAGAUAUAAGGAAGUCUAUAAAGAAUUAUUUUGCUCAUAUAAUUUUAAGGGCACGUACGCUUUUCUCUCAUUGGGUUUUUCUUUUUUCUUUAUUUUCAUUUCCGAGUCUCACGACUACAGACAAGCCCAGAAACCACCCAAAAACCACUAGUGGAAGAACAUGAUUUUGGACAGCCUACAUUCUUAAUGAACAGCGGGAGGAUGUAUUUUUAAUAAAGUAACAGUGUAAUCAGUUUGCAACCAGAAUCGCCCCACCAUGAAAUCACCUUAAUUACACGUCUGACAGCGGCUGAUCGGCUCCGUCCCACCAAAGGGGAACACGGCUCAGAAUGAGCUCCGUCAACACUCUUUCUAAUGAGUCGUAUACAAACACAGAAUACAAAAUGCCACCAGUUGUUAUUGUAUUCUUCGGAUAUGGCCACGGGACAUAAAUUGUGAAAUUCACUUCCAUCAUGAAAAGGAUAGACAAAUCAAUUAUUAACUAAAUCUAAAUUGCGGAGCCAUUUUUUACUCCUCUUUCACAGUUUUUUUUUGUUUUGUUCGCACCCUUUUCUCUGCGAAUGCGUUUCAGUUUUCAGUCUUCUCUCAGUGAUCUCUGUGAGGUGGGCCGUGAAUUACGCCAAAGGGGUUCACAUACAGGUGUGAAUCUUCAUUAGUGUAAUCCCAGCGGCAGCAUGAACGAAAUAAGUAAAAUGAUAGAAGAUCAUUAAACAACAAUCCCCAGGAAUAUAUGUUGGUCAUGUUUAUGUGCCGUCCUGCGAUGUAUUCAAUCAUCAAUCUUAUGGCACUAUCAGUACAACAUCACCACAACCUCUGUCUCGUCUAUUUGGUGAUGCUACUGAUGUGUCUUCUGUUAACGCAGCUCACUCGGUGGACGACACCGUUGGUACAGAAAUAUCAUUUUUAAUUAACGCAGACAAACUUGCUUUAGUGGCCUUUUAAGUCCACAUCUUUAAAACACAUUUGCCGUAUUGUAUCUCCAAAGAAAACAAAAUGAACGAAUAAUGGAUGAGAAAUUAUAGUAACUGCGUCAGGUGGAGAAACUUUGCAUCGACGGCCACACUCACAGAGGUCCGACUCGCUUCUAUCCGAUAAUAAAUGGAGCGCCACUCUAACCAAACAAACGUCCCGCUGCACGCUCCUCACGAUGCCCCGCUGCAUCGGGGUAUCUCCUUUAAUUAGGCCACAUCCCUUUCAACUCCGCCGCGACGUCACGGAGCAGAAAUGUCUCUGGGACCGGCGCGGUCUCGAGGUUUUAGUCAUUAAGAAAAUCAGGUCACUCUUUGCAUCUGGAGGAAAUCCGUGGCAAAGUAUGUAAUUACACACACAUGCAUUCCGACGUUGGUUUUAAUGAGCUAUUUCAAAACAACAAGCCUCACCUCAGAGCACAUGCAUUCUUUAUAACCGUCUGUACAGGAUGGAGAGGAAGAGGGAGGCAUUGUUCCUGUGUGGAGUGAAGGGCAGAAGUUGGAGAAAGAAUUCUUUUCCCGUUGCCUCUGCACACAACGGUUUUGUAAUGCAGGUUUUUUAUGAUUUUGAGUUGCAAUAGUACACGUGAGCCCCUCAUUGCAUGGGCCACGGGGAACAUGUUGGCAUCAAGGCUACGGAUGAACGUGGCCAAGUGGACAGACGGGACACAGCGAGGUGGACAGGAGCUGCCCGACUCACCUGGCAGCCGGAACCAGAAGAGAAAACAUUUAACAUUCAAGGUCCGACAGGCACCGCGACAAGCACCACUUUCACAUUCAGUAGUUUGCUUCACCUGCGACUACUUAGCGCUACAUAUUGUCAACACUCGGGGUAAUGACAGCGCUGAGAAAUGAAUGCUGUGAAUGCACAAACACGCAUAUAGAGACACAAAGCGAGACACUGAGACGCACAGCCCGGAGGGGGGGGGGGGGGGGGGUCUCUGCAUCUCACCAUAGAGACGAGGGCUCAUUGAUCUUCCCAGGAGGGGGGUUACUAGAGAUCAAUCUCCCUGAACAACAGUGACCCCUGGUGGAGGAUCAAAGUUCCCUGACAGGGAACAAGUCUUCUUCCAGCCCCGUGAUGAAAACAACAACUAACGACAACAAUGCUUCAGCAAAGUGACUAUUUACAC
Long non-coding RNA from Gasterosteus aculeatus aculeatus (three-spined stickleback), 3602 nucleotides. Lineage: Eukaryota; Metazoa; Chordata; Actinopteri; Perciformes; Gasterosteidae. The record is from Ensembl.